GACUAGGCAGGGAGAAGGACCUGCCCUGGGAGCAUCUAAGGAAGGACAUGGAAGCUGCUCCUCUAAGGAGAGAGGACCUGAUCUGCUAGAAGCCAGACUGACUAAAGACCUUCCAAGUGUCACUGUGUCUAUGGCCGAUCAGCAAGAAUCCUGGGCAGCAAGUUCCCUUCUGCCUGGAGCUCAAUUGGAGUGCAUCUCCAAGCCCCAGUCAGACAACUGUUUCAUGUGAAGUCAACCAGUCCACUGCCAACAAGAUUGUUUGUAUAAAGAUUGGGCUUGAGCUAAGGACCAGCACACCCCACCCCCUGACUCAGACCUGCUUUUGAGCCAAGCUGACUGCAUCGCCAAGCAACAGAGUGAUUUGACAUUGAGUCAGGCCUAUUAACAGCUCACCCAGGAAGAUCCCCAUGCUCCUACAGGAUUUUCCCCAUUUGAGUUUUUGUAUGGGAGACAACCCUGGGAAAUACUAGAUCUGAGUCAUGAAAUGUGGGAGGGGCAGGAGUCAAAGUCCACCAACUCAAUACAGUAUUUAUUAUGAUUAAGAGAGAAGCAAAAAUCCCUGGGCGAGUUUGCAAAGGAGAACUUGUUGAAGGAGCAACACAACAAGGAGAAGAAUUAUAACAAGGGCACCUGUAUCUGAGCGUUCCAACUGGGGGACCAAGUUCUAUUUCUGCUACCUAUCUCCGAAUCCAAGCUGUUGGCCCAAUGGCAGGGGCCUUUUGAAAUAGUGAAGUUAUGAACUUUACCAGCCUAGGAAGAGGAAAGCAACCCAAAUAUAUCAUGUCAACUUACUGAAGGUAUGGAAAGAAUGGGAGGGACUCAUCAUCAUUCCAUUCCCUCCUGAGCCUGAAUGUGGCCCCCGUGCCAUGAUGGUUCCUCAGUUGGGGGACCAUAUCAGUUGGGGAAGGCUUAUGACCUGAGCAGGAAGAGCAGAUAUGCAAACUCAUCAGCACAUUCAUCUCUGCAUUUUUGGCAACAACCGGGCUGCAUGUACCCAGUGUUCCACUGUAUAGAGACUGAACGCAGCCGGAAAGCGAGAGAGAGCAUGCAACCAUUAACCAGAAAAAAUGUGGGAGACUGACAAGAGCUACAGAACAUGUUGGUCACAGAGGUCAUCGAGGAGUCACACAGUAGGUGGCAAACUCUGAUAGUGCUCGUGCCCAAACAGGAUGGCUCAACAUGGUUCUGCAUUGACUUUUGAAAAAUGAAUACAAUAGCCAAAUUCAACCCUACAGGUCGAUGAAUUGCUGGAGAGUCUGGAGGCUGCCCAGGCACAUAUCCACUCUUGACCUAACCUGAGGGGAACUGGCAGAUCCCCCUUGCUCCUGAAUCCAGGGAAAAGAUGAUGACCUUCUCUAGCCCCUGGGCUUAUUCAAGUUUAGAAUCACGCCCUGCAGUCUGCAUGGGUCGUGGCUACAUUCAAGAGGUUAAUGGAUAAAAUACUGUGCCAACAUAGUAUGCGGCUGCUUAUGUUGAUGAUACCAUCAUUUACAGCGGGACAUGGGUCAACCACAUAAAACACCUCACAGCAGUUCUACAAGCAUUCUGCAAGGCUGGACUGAUGGCUAACCCAGAUAAAUGUCAAUUAGCCAACUGGGAAGUGAACUACCUGGGAUACACAGUGGGUGGAGCAUGGCUACGUGUAUUAUUAGGGAAGGCAAAAGGCCUUGUUAAAAUACCUGAACCUCUCUAUGAAGAAACAAAUAUGAUGCUUCUGGGACAAGUGGGGCACGAUAGGUGGUUCAUACCCAAUUUUGGCACCAGAGCCACACCCUGAACAGACUUAGUAAAAGAUGUUUCACUCAGGCAGAUCUGGUUGAUCAAGGCCUGUGCCAAGACCUUCCAGGGAUUAAAAAAAAAAAAAGCUGGUGAAGAAGGAACCUGUUUUAUUUCACCCCGACUUUUCAGGACCUUUCACUUUACAAUGGACACACUGGAUGUCAGCCUUGGAGCUGUACUAUUGCAAGAAAUAGGGGGAGAGGAACGUCCCAUCCUAUAUCUCGGCAAGAAGCUGUUGUCCUAAGAAGAUGCCUAUUCAGUGACAGAGAAUAGGGCUCCUGUGGUAAAGUGGGCUUACAUUGUUCCCGGUGGGGCCAACCAUUCCAGCUAGUGACAGAUCACAUGCCCCUCCAAUGGCUACAAUCCAUGAAGGACCAUAACCCCUGAGUCAUCUGGUGGAAUUGGUCCCUGCAGCCAUACCACUUUGAAGUACUGCAUCAAGCCAAUAAAGACCAUAAAAAUGUGGACUUUUUUUCAUGAGACCGGUGUGGGGGGACAGUCAACCCAGAUAGACCCGGCGACUCGGAAACUGAGUGGGAGGGUGUGAGAUGGGGUCUAGAGG
Molecule: long non-coding RNA, 2341 nt
Organism: Mauremys reevesii (Reeves's turtle)
Lineage: Eukaryota; Metazoa; Chordata; Testudines; Geoemydidae
Exons: 4
Source: RefSeq, a predicted model, not a curated record